This 508-nucleotide ribosomal RNA is filed under the name uncultured bacterium. Its description in RNAcentral is "partial 16S ribosomal RNA". It matches the Rfam family "Bacterial small subunit ribosomal RNA", at positions 28 to 523 of the family's 1533-position model. The record is from RNAcentral.
GAUGAACGCUAGCUACAGGCUUAACACAUGCAAGUCGAGGGGAAACGAUAUUGGAAGCUUGCUUCCGAUAGGCGUCGACCGGCGCACGGGUGAGUAACGCGUAUCCAACCUGCCCACCACUUGGGGAUAACCUUGCGAAAGUAAGACUAAUACCCAAUGACGUCUCUAGAAGACAUCUGAAAGGGAUUAAAGAUUUAUCGGUGACGGAUGGGGAUGCGUCUGAUUAGCUUGUUGGCGGGGUAACGGCCCACCAAGGCUACGAUCAGUAGGGGUUCUGAGAGGAAGGUCCCCCACAUUGGAACUGCGACACGGUCCAAACUCCUACGGGAGGCAGCAGUGAGGAAUAUUGGUCAAUGGACGAGAGUCUGAACCAGCCAAGUAGCGUGCAGGAUGACGGCCCUAUGGGUUGUAAACUGCUUUUAUAAGGGAAUAAAGUGAGUCUCGUGAGACUUUUUGCAUGUACCUUAUGAAUAAGGACCGGCUAAUUCCGUGCCAGCCGCCGCGGUAA